CGUAGGGUGCGAGCGUUGUCCGGAAUUAUUGGGCGUAAAGGGCUCGUAGGCGGUUUGUCGCGUCGGGAGUGAAAACCUCGGGCUUAACUCGGGGCUUGCUUUCGAUACGGGCAGACUGGAGGUAUGCAGGGGAGAACGGAAUUCCUGGUGUAGCGGUGAAAUGCGCAGAUAUCAGGAGGAACACCGGUGGCGAAGGCGGUUCUCUGGGCAUGACCUGACGCUGAGGAGCGAAAGUGUGGGGAGCGAACAGGAUUAGAUACCCUGGUAGUCCACACCGUAAACGUUGGGCGCUAGGUGUGGGAUCCAUUCCACGGGUUCCGUGCCGCAGCUAACGCAUUAAGCGCCCCGCCUGGGGAGUACGGCCGCAAGGCUA
This 373-nucleotide ribosomal RNA is filed under the name uncultured organism. RNAcentral's name for it is "bacterial SSU rRNA". It matches the Rfam family "Bacterial small subunit ribosomal RNA", at positions 526 to 896 of the family's 1533-position model. The record is from RNAcentral.